Molecule: ribosomal RNA, 496 nt
Filed under: uncultured bacterium
Lineage: Bacteria
Description: partial 16S ribosomal RNA
Rfam family: Bacterial small subunit ribosomal RNA
Source: RNAcentral
AUGAACGCUGGCGGCGUGCCUAAUACAUGCAAGUCGCGCGAACAGACGAGGAGCUUGCUCCUCUGACGAUAGCGGCGGACGGGUGAGUAACACGUGGAUAACCUGCCUAUAAGACUGGGAUAACUUCGGGAAACCGGAGCUAAUACCGGAUAAUAUAUUGAACCGCAUGGUUCAAUAGUGAAAGACGGUUUUGCUGUCACUUAUAGAUGGAUCCGCGCCGCAUUAGCUAGUUGGUAAGGUAACGGCUUACCAAGGCAACGAUGCGUAGCCGACCUGAGAGGGUGAUCGGCCACACUGGAACUGAGACACGGUCCAGACUCCUACGGGAGGCAGCAGUAGGGAAUCUUCCGCAAUGGGCGAAAGCCUGACGGAGCAACGCCGCGUGAGUGAUGAAGGUCUUCGGAUCGUAAAACUCUGUUAUUAGGGAAGAACAAAUGUGUAAGUAACUAUGCACGUCUUGACGGUACCUAAUCAGAAAGCCACGGCUAACUACGUG